Molecule: ribosomal RNA, 428 nt
Filed under: Bacteroidota bacterium
Lineage: Bacteria; Pseudomonadati; Bacteroidota
Description: Bacteroidetes bacterium partial 16S ribosomal RNA
Rfam family: Bacterial small subunit ribosomal RNA
Source: RNAcentral
UAGGGAAUCUUCCGCAAUGGACGCAAGUCUGACGGAGCAACGCCCGUGAGUGAAGAAGGAUUUCGGUUCGUAAAACUCUGUUGUUAGAGAAGAACAGCGCAUAGAGUAACUGUUAUGCGUGUGACGGUAUCUAACCAGAAAGCCACGGCUAACUACGUGCCAGCAGCCGCGGUAAUACGUAGGUGGCAAGCGUUGUCCGGAUUUAUUGGGCGUAAAGCGAGCGCAGGCGGUCAAUUAAGUCUGAUGUGAAAGCCCCCGGCUCAACCGGGGAGGGUCAUUGGAAACUGGUUGACUUGAGUGCAGAAGAGGAGAGUGGAAUUCCAUGUGUAGCGGUGAAAUGCGUAGAUAUAUGGAGGAACACCAGUGGCGAAGGCGACUCUCUGGUCUGUAACUGACGCUGAGGCUCGAAAGCGUGGGUAGCAAACAGG